UACGGGGGGGGCAAGCGUUGUUCGGAAUUACUGGGCGUAAAGGGCUCGUAGGCGGCCAACUAAGUCAGACGUGAAAUCCCCAGGCUUAACCUGGGAACUGCGUCUGAUACUGGAUGGCUUGAAUUCGGGAGAGGGAUGCAGAAUUCCAGGUGUAGCGGUGAAAUGCGUAGAUAUCUGAAGGAAUACCGGUGGCGAAGGCGGCAUCCUGGACCGGUAUUGACGCUGAUGCGCGAAAGCCAGGGGAGCAAACGGG
RNAcentral lists this ribosomal RNA (253 nucleotides) under uncultured bacterium. RNAcentral describes it as "partial 16S ribosomal RNA". It matches the Rfam family "Bacterial small subunit ribosomal RNA", at positions 524 to 776 of the family's 1533-position model. The record is from RNAcentral.